CUGUCUCGUGUCUGGAACCCUGUGCAGAUCCGACAAGAGACCGCCGCGGAGGGGGUACUGGUCCCAUGACUGCGGACACGCCCGCCAGCGCCAGGUGCGAUCCGGCGACAGGGUUUUCUAAGUGGACUUCCUCCAGGAGGGUGAGGAUGGAUGACGCAGCACUAAGAACGUACUAGAACCAGCUGUCACACGGCACACGGCUGGUGACUGGAGCUUCCCCGUCACUCACCUGGGAAGGAGCAGGUCAGGAACCCCCAGUCCUGCAGGUCCUCAGCGCAGGGCACGGCCCCUUGCUCCAGAUGGGAGAUGAGGGGUGGCUUAGGGCAGGCAAGGCCUGCUCGUGGAGAAGGGAAGUCAGUGUGCAUAGCAGAUCACCUCUGUCCCAACACCCGGCCUUGACCCUUCUGCUCACACUGCAGAGGAGAGUGUGAGCAGGGGGGAGAAAAGGGUGUACUCGGGGGGGUCUGCCAAGGUGUAAGCAAGCAUGUAGGGAUGACCUCAGAAAGGUCACGCUCAGAAGAGCAGAGGAGGAGACCCCAGGAAGCAGUCACUUGGUUGUAUUUUCCCCGUUGUGGCUGCGAGGCAAGAAUGAGGGCUCUGACUUUCACUGGGAGGCCCGGAGACGUCAAUAGACAGCAAGUAAAGAGUAAGGACAGGAAAAAGGACUAAGCCAAGCACGGGGUGUCCUCACCAGCCGACAGCAUGUUGCCAUAGUUCUCCAGCAUCACGUCAGUGUACAGGUGCCUCUGGGCGCGGGUCAGACACUGCCACUCUCCACUACUGAAGCACACGGCCACAUCCUCAAACGUCACCGCGUCCUGCAAGGAUACGCUCCCGCUGACCCGGAGGAAACCCCAGUCCCCAGGAAACAGACGCAGAAGAAAGGAUUCUCAGGAGGUUUCUAGAAAUGAAAGGUGGUUACUGUUCCACAUAUAUUUGGGGUUGCGGUGGAAGGGGGAAUAGGCUGUGCACAGCGAAAAUCAUGACCGGGAACAAUCCACGAAUGGUGUCAUCCAACAAAAUGUUCCUUGUGAGUGGAAUGCCUGGAUGGGGGGGGGGGGGUCAGGGAGCGAGUGAAAACGAGGCCGUAUUCAGGACGUGGUACUGUAUUUCCAGGAAGGAUGGAGGGGCCUCAGCUCGCCUGGGCCCCACUCACCGGUGUGGUAUUUGCUCCUGGCCGGUCUCCGUGGCUUCUGUCGUUGGCAAAGGCAGGAUGCUGAGGAGCCCGCAGGGCUGAGGGAAGAGAAAUGAGUCAACUUGGCAUGGUAUUGGCGAGACCCCAUGCUUUCCUCCUCUUCCCUAACGUGCAAGUCUCAGACCACACCUUCCCCUCAUUUCUCCAGCCUGUUUCCAGUUUGGGCAGCAGGCCGUGGCACACAGCCAUGCUGACGGUAAAUGCUUGCUCUCCCUCACCUACAACGUGGUUUUCUGUGGUCGCUCUUCAUCCUAGAAUAACCUCUCCUGUCCCCAAGCCCACAUCACUGACUCCUGGCUGGUUCGAUGACCUUCUUCCAGGAUCUGAGUGUUGAGGUCACUUCCUCCAGAAGGACUAGGGAUGGGGAUGGAUGGGGAUUGGCCCACAGCUUGUUCCUUUAGGUAACUUACUAGCUGGCCUACCUCGGGCCAUUUUCCCUUGUUCUUAUUAGAGAAGCAGCACGUGUCCCGACUCUGAGUCUCCCGUUAGCUCCUGGCACGGAGCCACUGUCCCCUCACCGUGCUGCAGUGCACGCAGCGUAUGCAGCAUGUGGUGUCCAGGUGUCUGGGGCAGCCCGUAGGGCACCUCGGCCCUCCACCUCGGCCGGCCCACAUAGCUGGCUAGGGAGCCCUAAUUCACUCCUCAGGGACCAGCUCCACCUUUCCUUAGCUUGUGUUUGCAGUGACUAACCUUUCUAGAAAGUUCUUCAACACAUCCCCAAUCCGAGUCUGAGCAGUCUCUUUCAGAAGAUACCAGGGAGAUUGGUCACCAACUGAUAAGACUCUAGGAUCACCCUGUGGACUUAGGUCCCCAAAAUUUCAUUCCAAUUUUACCAAAACUUCAAUUUAGGAGCAAACUGGUUUCUUCCCAGAGAAAUUUCCCAAGAACAUUGUUCUUUGGUUUAGACCUGGGCUGUGUCUCAGUCCUCAUGGGUCCUGCUCUCUUGUUCCAUGUCUCACCUACAAGCCCACGCAUUCUAUGACUGUUGGUCGCACAUGGUCUCACACCCAUUGGGCUCACAGCAGAGGCAGGUCUGCUCUGCAAGGAUCCUCAUGACAUCAAAAAUGUAACCUCCCAGCUUGGUUUUUUGUUCAAUCCACAUUUUAUUUAUUUUCUUCUUUUUUUUAAUGUUUAUUUUUGAGAGAGAGAGAGAUUGGACGUGAAUGGGGGAGGGGCGGAGAGGAUCUGAAGCAGGCUCUAGGCUCUGAGCUGUCAGCACAGAGUCCGACUUGGGGCUCAAACCCAUGACCUGUGAGAUCAUGACCUGAGCUGGAGUCAGACACUUAACCGACUGAGCCACCCAGGUGCCCCUCAAUCCACAUUUUAUUGUGAAUGUUUUCAAAUAUACAGAAAAGCUGAAAGAACUAUUUGGUAAACAUCCACAUACUCCCCACUCAUGUUCCACAAUUAAUGUUUGCAAUAAACCUCUGUCUAACUA
Neofelis nebulosa (Clouded leopard) is the source of this 2633-nucleotide long non-coding RNA. RefSeq lists it as uncharacterized. The record is from RefSeq and is a predicted model, not a curated record. The transcript is spliced from 2 exons. Lineage: Eukaryota; Metazoa; Chordata; Mammalia; Carnivora; Felidae.